UACAGGGGGGGCAAGCGUUGUUCGGAAUUACUGGGCGUAAAGGGCGCGUAGGCGGCCAACUAAGUCCGACGUGAAAUCCCAAAGCUUAACUUUGGAACUGCGUCGGAUACUGGAUGGCUUGAAUUCGGGAGAGGGAUGCAGAAUUCCAGGUGUAGCGGUGAAAUGCGUAGAUAUCUGGAGGAAUACCGGUGGCGAAGGCGGCAUCCUGGACCGGCAUUGACGCUGAGGCGCGAAAGCCAGGGGAGCAAACGGG
Molecule: ribosomal RNA, 253 nt
Filed under: uncultured bacterium
Lineage: Bacteria
Description: partial 16S ribosomal RNA
Rfam family: Bacterial small subunit ribosomal RNA
Source: RNAcentral